UACAGAGGUCUCAAGCGUUGUUCGGAUUCAUUGGGCGUAAAGGGUGCGUAGGCGGCGCGGUAAGUCGGGUGUGAAAUCUCGGAGCCUAACUCCGAAACUGCAUUCGAUACUGCCGUGCUUGAGGACUGGAGAGGAGGCUGGAAUUUACGGUGUAGCGGUGAAAUGCGUAGAUAUCGUAAGGAAGACCAGUGGCGAAGGCGGGUCUCUGGACAGUUCCUGACGCUGAGGCACGAAGGUCAGGGGAGCAAACGGG
This 253-nucleotide ribosomal RNA is filed under the name uncultured bacterium. RNAcentral describes it as "partial 16S ribosomal RNA". It matches the Rfam family "Bacterial small subunit ribosomal RNA", at positions 524 to 776 of the family's 1533-position model. The record is from RNAcentral.